AGUCAAGUAAUUAAGUGCAUGUGGUGGAUGCCUUGGCAGUCAGAGGCGAUGAAAGACGUGAUAGCCUGCGAAAAGCUCCGGGGAGGCGGCAAAUAUCCUUUGAUCCGGAGAUGUCUGAAUGGGGGAACCCACCUACUUUAAGGUAGGUAUUGCAACAUGAAUACAUAGUGUUGCAAGGCGAACGAGGGGAAGUGAAACAUCUCAGUACCCUUAGGAAAAGAAAUCAAUUGAGAUUCCCUCAGUAGCGGCGAGCGAACGGGGAUCAGCCCAUUAAGUUAUGUGUGUUUUAGUGGAACGCUCUGGGAAGUGCGAACGUAGAGGGUGAUAUUCCCGUACACGAAAGGGCACACAUAAUGAUGACGAGUAGGGCGAGGCACGUGAAACCUUGUCUGAAUAUGGGGGGACCAUCCUCCAAGGCUAAAUACUCCUGACUGACCGAUAGUGAACCAGUACCGUGAGGGAAAGGCGAAAAGAACCCCUGUGAGGGGAGUGAAAUAGAUCCUGAAACCGCAUGCAUACAAGCAGUGGGAGCACCUUCGUGGUGUGACUGCGUACCUUUUGUAUAAUGGGUCAGCGACUUAUAUUCAGUAGCAAGGUUAACCGUAUAGGGGAGCCGUAGAGAAAUCGAGUCUUAAUAGGGCGUUUAGUUGCUGGGUAUAGACCCGAAACCAGGCGAUCUAUCCAUGAGCAGGUUGAAGGUUGGGUAACACUAACUGGAGGACCGAACCCACUGUCGUUGAAAAGCCAGGGGAUGACUUGUGGAUAGGGGUGAAAGGCUAAUCAAGCCUGGUGAUAGCUGGUUCUCCCCGAAAGCUAUUUAGGUAGCGCCUCGGACGAAUACCAUAGGGGGUAGAGCACUGUUUCGGCUAGGGGGUCAUCCCGACUUACCAAACCGAUGCAAACUCCGAAUACCUAUGAGUACUAUCCGGGAGACAGACUGCGGGUGCUAACGUCCGUAGUCAAGAGGAAAACAAUCCAGACCGCCAGCUAAGGCCCCAAAAUCAUAGUUAAGUGGGAAACGAUGUGGGAAGGCAUAGACAGCUAGGAGGUUGGCUUAGAAGCAGCCACCCUUUAAAGAAAGCGUAAUAGCUCACUAGUCGAGUCGGCCUGCGCGGAAGAUGUAACGGGGCUAAAACUAUGUGCCGAAGCUGCGGAUGUAUACUUUGUAUACGUGGUAGGGGAGCGUUCUGUAAGCCGAUGAAGGUGUGUUGAGAAGCAUGCUGGAGGUAUCAGAAGUGCGAAUGCUGACGUGAGUAACGACAAAACGGGUGAAAAACCCGUUCGCCGAAAGACCAAGGGUUCCAGUCCAACGUUAAUCGGGGCUGGGUGAGUCGACCCCUAAGGCGAGGCCGAAAGGCGUAGUCGAUGGGAAAAUGGUUAAUAUUCCAUUACUUCUGUGUAAUGCGAUGAGAGGACGGAGAAGGCUAAAUCAGCCUGGCGUUGGUUGUCCAGGUGAAAGGAUGUAGGCAUGUAUCUUAGGCAAAUCCGGGGUACUCUAUGCUGAGAUCUGAUAGCAAGCUGUACUUGUACAGCGAAGUGGUUGAUGCCAUGCUUCCAGGAAAAGUCUCUAAGCUUCAGUUACACAGGAAUCGUACCCGAAACCGACACAGGUGGUCAGGUCGAGUAGACCAAGGCGCUUGAGAGAACUCUGCUGAAGGAACUAGGCAAAAUGGUACCGUAACUUCGGGAGAAGGUACGCUGUUGUUGGUGAUGGAACUCGCUUCCUGAGCUGACGACAGCCGCAGAAACCAGGCCGCUGCAACUGUUUAUUAAAAACAUAGCACUCUGCAAACACGAAAGUGGACGUAUAGGGUGUGAUGCCUGCCCGGUGCUGGAAGGUUAAUUGAUGGGGUUAGCGUAAGCGAAGCUCUUGAUCGAAGCCCCAGUAAACGGCGGCCGUAACUAUAACGGUCCUAAGGUAGCGAAAUUCCUUGUCGGGUAAGUUCCGACCUGCACGAAUGGCAUAAUGAUGGCGGCGCUGUCUCCAGCAGAGGCUCAGUGAAAUCGAAAUCGCUGUGAAGAUGCAGUGUACCCGCGGCUAGACGGAAAGACCCCGUGAACCUUUACUGCAGCUUGACACUGAACUUUGACCUUACUUGUGUAGGAUAGGUGGGAGGCUUUGAAGCUGGAACGCUAGUUCCAGUGGAGCCGUCCUUGAAAUACCACCCUGGUAAUGUUGAGGUUCUAACUCUGUCCCGUGAUCCGGGACGAGGACCGUGUCUGGUGGGUAGUUUGACUGGGGCGGUCUCCUCCUAAAGAGUAACGGAGGAGUACGAAGGUGCGCUCAGCGUGGUCGGAAAUCACGCGUAGAGUAUAAAGGCAAAAGCGCGCUUAACUGCGAGACCCACAAGUCGAGCAGGUACGAAAGUAGGUCUUAGUGAUCCGGUGGUUCUGUAUGGAAGGGCCAUCGCUCAACGGAUAAAAGGUACUCUGGGGAUAACAGGCUGAUACCGCCCAAGAGUUCAUAUCGACGGCGGUGUUUGGCACCUCGAUGUCGGCUCAUCUCAUCCUGGGGCUGAAGCAGGUCCCAAGGGUAUGGCUGUUCGCCAUUUAAAGAGGUACGCGAGCUGGGUUUAGAACGUCGUGAGACAGUUCGGUCCCUAUCUACCGUGGGCGCUGGAAAUUUGAGAGGAUCUGCUCCUAGUACGAGAGGACCAGAGUGGACGAACCUCUGGUGUACCGGUUGUGACGCCAGUCGCAUCGCCGGGUAGCUAUGUUCGGAAGGGAUAACCGCUGAAAGCAUCUAAGCGGGAAGCCUACCUCAAGAUAAGAUUUCCCUAGGACUUUAUGUCCUCUAAAGAGCCGUUCGAGACUAGGACGUUGAUAGGUUGGAUGUGGAAGCAUAGUGAUAUGUGAAGCUGACCAAUACUAAUUGCUCGUGAGGCUUGACUAUACAACACCC
RNAcentral lists this ribosomal RNA (2902 nucleotides) under Acinetobacter baumannii. Its description in RNAcentral is "LSU rRNA". It matches the Rfam family "Bacterial large subunit ribosomal RNA". The record is from RNAcentral. Lineage: Bacteria; Pseudomonadati; Pseudomonadota; Gammaproteobacteria; Moraxellales; Moraxellaceae.